This 1590-nucleotide ribosomal RNA is filed under the name Coleophoma cylindrospora. RNAcentral describes it as "bacterial SSU rRNA". It matches the Rfam family "Bacterial small subunit ribosomal RNA". The record is from RNAcentral. Lineage: Eukaryota; Fungi; Ascomycota; Leotiomycetes; Helotiales; Dermateaceae.
UGAGUUUGAUGAUGGCUCUGAAUGAACGCUGUCCAAAUGCUUGACACAUGCUAAUCGUACGUCUAAUUUAAUAAAAUAUUAUUUGUAUUUAUAUAAAUAAUAUUAAAUUUCAUUAGAAGUGGUGUACAGGUGAGUAAAUAAUAUUUUGGCUGCCUUAAAGUAAGGUAUAAAAUCCCUUAUAAAAAGAAAGGAAGACAUCUUCCGCUUUAAGAUGACAAUAAAUAUUUCGGAUAGGUAGUAGUUAAGGUAAUGGCUUAACUAGCUUAAGAUUCCGUAAUCGAGGCUGAGAGGUCGAUCGAUCACAUUGGGUCUGAAAAAACCCCAAUACGUUUAGUACAGCAGUGGGGAAUAUUGGUCAAUAGCCUAACGGCUGAACCAGCAAUUUGGGAGAAUGAAUAGCUUCGGCUAACUACAUUAGUUUUAAUUUUUGAAAAAAGAUUAUUAAAAUGUUAAUUAAAUUAAUUUAAUUAAUAUUGCUAAUGUUUUAGUGACUACGUCACAUAAAGUUCUAGAUAGAAUACUGAUUAUGACAAUUUACUAUCUAUGUGUCUUGACCAAAUUACGUGCCAGCAGUCGCGGUAAUACGUAGAAGACUAGUGUUAUUCAUCUUUAUUAGGUUUAAAGGGUACCUAGACGGUUUAACUAGUCCAAAAUAGGAUACGGUUUUACUAGAGUUAUAUAUAAGAAGGUGAGUAUUUGUGGAGUAGAGUUGAAAUUCUUUGAUACCAUGAGGACUGGUAACGGCGAAAGCAACCUUUUAUCUAAUAACUGACGUUGAGGGACGAAGGCUCGGGUCGCGAACAGGAUUAGAUACCCUAGUAGUCCAAGCAGAGAAUUAUGAAUGCCAUAGAUUAGAUAUUAUUUAGUUUAUAAAUGAAAGUGUAAGCAUUCCACCUCAAGAGUAAUGUGGCAACGCAGGAACUGAAAUCAUUAGACCGUUUCUGAAACCAGUAGUGAAGUAUGUUAUUUAAUUCGUAAGUACACGAAAAACCUUACCACAAUUUGAAUAUUAUCUAGGUGAAACAAAAAUUUUAUCUAGAUAUUACAAGUGUUGCAUGGCCGUCUUCAGUUAAUGUCGUGAGAUAUUGGUUAAUUCCAUUAAAUUAACGGAAACCCUUGCUUUAUUUAUGUAUCGCUAUGUUUUAAUACAGAGCGACCUUACUUUACAGUUAGGAGAAAAUAAAGCAGUUCGCCAUUACAUUGGUUAUGAUAACAGGGAUAAAGACAGGUCAUCAUGGCCUAAAUAUUGUGGGCUAUAGACGUGCCACAUUUUCCUAUACAAAGAGAUGCGAAAAUGUGAAUUUAAGCUAACCUCAAAAAGUAGGAUAUAAUAUGGAUUGUAGUCUGAAAUUCGACUACAUGAAAAAGGAAUUACUAGUAAUCGUGAAUCACCACGUCACGGUGAAUCUCAUCUCAGAUAGGUACUAACUACUCGUCAGGCGCUGAAAGAAGUAUGUGCAAUAAGUUUGGCUAACUGUCUUUCUUUAAUUUAGAUAAAUAGAUCUAGAUAUUUAGAUGGAAGGUCUUCGUAUGCGUGACUUUGAUUGGUGUUAAGUCGAAAUACGGUUCGUGUAGUGGAAAUUGCACGGG